Rattus norvegicus (Norway rat) is the source of this 100-nucleotide small nucleolar RNA. Ensembl annotates it as small nucleolar RNA U3. The record is from Ensembl. Lineage: Eukaryota; Metazoa; Chordata; Mammalia; Rodentia; Muridae.
AAGACUAUACUUUCAGGGAUCAUUUCUAUAGUUCGUUACUAGAGAAGUUUCUCUGACUGUGCAGAAGAAAUAAUUAUAAGUGGAACCUUGAUAAAUCAGA